This 373-nucleotide ribosomal RNA is filed under the name uncultured bacterium. Its description in RNAcentral is "bacterial SSU rRNA". It matches the Rfam family "Bacterial small subunit ribosomal RNA", at positions 524 to 898 of the family's 1533-position model. The record is from RNAcentral.
UACGUAGGGGGCGAGCGUUAUCCGGAAUCACUGGGCGUAAAGGGUGCGUAGGUGGCUAAUCAAGCCAGGGGUGAAAGGCUACGGCUUAACCGUAGUAAGCCCUUGGAACUGAAUAGCUUGAGUGCAGGAGAGGAGAGCGGAAUUCCUAGUGUAGCGGUGAAAUGCGUAGAUAUUAGGAGGAACACCAGUGGCGAAGGCGGCUCUCUGGACUGUAACUGACGCUGAGGCACGAAAGCGUGGGGAGCGAACAGGAUUAGAUACCCUGGUAGUCCACGCCGUAAACGAUGAGUGCUAGGUGUCGGGGGUUCACACCCUCGGUGCCGGAGUUAACGCAAUAAGCACUCCGCCAGGGGAGUACGGUCGCAAGACUGAA